AAAAUCCGGCGCACAUAUACCGAGGCCAACGAUCGAGCCAGCUUGCUGGUGAAGUGACUGAACGAGGUUCCAGGAAAAGCCACUAAGCUUCAGCUACACACGACCGUACCGCAAACCGACACUGGUGCGCGAGAUGAGUAUUCUAAGGCGCUUGAGAGAACUCAGGAGAAGGAACUCGGCAAAUUGACACCGUAACUUCGGAAGAAGGUGUGCCCUAUUAGUGUGAAGUGAACAACGGAGCAUGAAUGGGUUGCAAAAAAUCGGUGGCUGCGACUGUUUAUUAAAAACACAGCACUCUGCAAACACGAAAGUGGACGUAUAGGGUGUGACGCCUGCCCGGUGCUGGAAGAUUAAAUGAUGGGGUGCAAGCUCUUGAUUGAAGUCCCAGUAAACGGCGGCCGUAACGAUAACGGUCCUAAGGUAGCGAAAUUCCUUGUCGGGUAAGUUCCGACCUGCACGAAUGGCGUAACGAUGGCCACACUGUCUCCUCCUGAGACUCAGCGAAGUUGAAAUGUUUGUGAUGAUGCAAUCUCCCCGCGGAAAGACGGAAAGACCCCAUGAACCUUUACUGUAGCUUUGUAUUGGACUUUGAACAGAUCUGUGUAGGAUAGGUGGGAGGCUUUGAAGCAGGGUCGCUAGAUCUUGUGGAGCCAACGUUGAAAUACCACCCUGGUGUGUUUGAGGUUCUAACCUAGGUCCAUUAUCUGGAUCGGGGACAGUGCAUGGUAGGCAGUUUGACUGGGGCGGUCUCCUCCCAAAGCGUAACGGAGGAGUUCGAAGGUACGCUAGUUACGGUCGGACAUCGUGACGAUAGUGCAAUGGCAUAAGCGUGCUUAACUGCGAGACUGACAAGUCGAGCAGAUGCGAAAGCAGGACAUAGUGAUCCGGUGGUUCUGUAUGGAAGGGCCAUCGCUCAACGGAUAAAAGGUACUCUGGGGAUAACAGGCUGAUACCGCCCAAGAGUUCAUAUCGACGGCGGUGUUUGGCACCUCGAUGUCGGCUCAUCUCAUCCUGGGGCUGUAGCCGGUCCCAAGGGUAUGGCUGUUCGCCAUUUAAAGAGGUACGUGAGCUGGGUUUAAAACGUCGUGAGACAGUUUGGUCCCUAUCUUCCGUGGGCGCUGCAGAUUUGAGGAAGCCUGCUCCUAGUACGAGAGGACCGGAGUGGACACACCUCUGGUGUAUCGGUUGUCACGCCAGUGGCAUUGCCGAGUAGCUAAGUGUGGAAGAGAUAACCGCUGAAAGCAUCUAAGCGGGAAACUCGUUUCAAGAUGAGAUCUGCCGGGGCCUUGAGCCCCCUAAAGAGUCGUUCAAGACCAGGACGUUGAUAGGUCAGGUGUGGAAGCGCAGUAAUGCGUUAAGCUAACUGAUACUAAUUGCUCGUGCGGCUUGACCCC
Molecule: ribosomal RNA, 1394 nt
Filed under: metagenome
Description: bacterial LSU rRNA
Rfam family: Bacterial large subunit ribosomal RNA
Source: RNAcentral